This 965-nucleotide long non-coding RNA is filed under the name Dromaius novaehollandiae (emu). RNAcentral describes it as "lncRNA (ENSDNVG00000000031.1)". Lineage: Eukaryota; Metazoa; Chordata; Aves; Casuariiformes; Dromaiidae. The record is from RNAcentral.
GGAUUAUGUGAGUGAGGGCUACAGGACUCCAUACCAAGAAAGCUGCUAGCUUUCCAUUGGAUCUUUCUGAGCUCUAGUGCAGCUGGACUCAUUGCAGCUGAGACAGUGUGUUACAGGAUGAGGGAUGGGAGAAGUGUAGGUUCCCCUGAUUGCAGACUGCAGGUCAGCCCUGCCUUCUCGUUUAAUCUGRAGUUAACUGUCUACCAGCUGCUGCKAAGGUCCAAAAGCAUGCCCAAGUCCCUCAGCUGUAGGAGCCUGCAAAUCAUGUCCAGGUCAUCUCCAAGCUGCCAACAUGGGACCUGUGUCAGUGACUCCUGCGGGAGCUGGGAACCAGCAAGGGCCUAUGCAAGGUGCCUGGGCUUCUGGACUUUUCCAGUGGCUGUUGUCUUCUAAAGACCAAGAGGCAGUAGCAGCCGGCAUUGUGGAGAGCUGCACAGAAGAGCUCCAGGCUGGCCAGCACAGAGGAUGCUSUCUUAAGCACACUGCUUACUCCAUUCGGAAGCACUCUGAACACAGCGAGAAGUGACUAUCCUGGCAAGAGUAGUUCCAAGCCUCAAAUCUCUUGCUAAAUAUUCAGAGUGAUGAAGCAAAGAUGGAUAUUAUUAUUAUUUGGUCGCUUCGAGGUAUAUUUUUAAGUGCUGCACAGAGAUUUAACAUUCCACUAACAACACAGAACAUUUGCUUGGCACACAAGCAGUGACCUUCAAGACUCAUCUGAGGACAAGGCAAGACAAAAAAGCUAAGCUACAGCAGCAGGGAGCUGACAAGUCAGGAAUGUACAUGCUUAAACAAGUUUCACUUAUUAAAAGAAAAUGUAAGCUUCUUUUCUGCGAUAUGUACUGCAMAGACAGACUCCUCCAAUUACAUGGUGUGCCAGUGUACCCUAAUCGUCACCAUCAGAAGGAAAUAGGUCACCAGAACAAUUAGCACCAAAGUGGUGCAUAGCCUCCUCAGCUUGAAUUCUU